Molecule: long non-coding RNA, 3208 nt
Organism: Rattus norvegicus (Norway rat)
Lineage: Eukaryota; Metazoa; Chordata; Mammalia; Rodentia; Muridae
Source: RefSeq, a predicted model, not a curated record
CUGGCCGAGCAGAGGCCAAUUCAGGAAGAUUCCCCAGCAUGAAGUCAAUCUCCCCAAGGAUGGUAAUGACUUCAUGACUGUAUGCAUUGAGUUCACUCUGGGAAAGAAAAUCAGUUACACUUACACAAACGGUACAGUAUACUUGGCUUAGGACAGUGGUUCUCAACCUGUGGACUGUGACUCUUACAGGGGUCGCAUAUCAGAGAGUUUACACUGUGAUUCCUAACAGUAGCAAAAUUACAGUUAUGAAGAGGCAAUGAAAAUAAUUUUAUGUUUGGAGGUCACCACAACUGGAUUCAGAGUGGCAGCAGUAGAAGGUUGAGAACCACUGACUUGGGAUGUCACAAAGCUCAGACCAGUUGCAGUGACAACUGGUAUUACUAGACACCACCCCCACCCCCGGUUUGAUAUCAGAUAUAUAUAUAUAUAUGUAUAUAUAUACAUAUAUAUAUAUAUAUUUAAUCUCCAAGUUCUCAAUACCGCACACCCUGGAUACUCUGAUGGCUCUUCCUCUCCAAUAUAUUCAGUGCCUCUAAAUUCUCCACUAUCGAUCCAAACCUUUUAAAAUAAGGUUAAAAUUAUCUCUUUCACCAUCACCUCCCAAUUUAUAACAGCCUGCCGCAGUCACAAUUUAGGUGCCAUGGCAACUUUGCUUUUGAGCUGCAUCUUAAUACUUCAUUCUUAACGCAUACAACCACAGUCACAUUUUUAUCUGCACAUGUUCUAUUUUGCAACCAGAUUUGAAAUUCUGGACUUACUGUAUGUCUUCAGGAAUCCUACGUAUGUACAAACACACAAACUAUCUGAUGUUUGAAGAAUGGAUGACUCAUAGGGUUUAAUAUUCAUUACCCUAUCUUUGUUUACUAUCACAGCCCCUCUUUACCAAAAGUACUCUGAAGAAAGCUUUCUAGCUUCUACUACAACUACUGUUACCGUUUUUUGAAACGGUCUUUGAUUACAAACCUGAAAAUAUUGGUCUUACCAUACCUGAAAUACAGAUAGAAAGUAAAAAGUAGAAACAAUAUUACUAGAGAGUACAGGAGCCUACAGGUGUGCCCCAAACACUGCUUAAAAUCAAAGCUUGCGUCUAAAGAGGCUAUAUGGUUUCACCUGGGACCUCAUUAGAACUCUCAGACACUGUCUCCCACGGACUAAAUCAAGAUUUGUAUUUUAACAGGUCCCCAGGGUGAUUGUCAGUAUACUAGAGUUCAAGGAUAUAUAUGAUUAAUGAUACACAAGGCCAUGAGGGAAAUUAUGGGUGCUGAAGAUUAUUAGGAAAUAAUAACACUGUCAACAAAAAGAAACCAUUUUUAAAACGUUAUUAAAUAAGACGGGGGAGUGAAAUAGCUGAACUGUACCAAGCAGACAAACUACUGACACAGACUAUCCAAAGUUAAUUGCACAUUGUAAGGAAAGAGACUAAAAAUGCAGCAGAAAAGGGCAAGGCUAUACAGAGCAUUUACAGGCGAGAAACUGCCGGCCGCCAAGUAAAGCAUGCACUUCAAUAUGAGUGCAAAUACAACAGUUUGGGCUCUAAGUGGGGCUGGAGAGUCCAGAAUCCAGGAUAACUCUGCUUCCUCUUUACUGCUGGAUAAACAAAACCGAACAACCUGCUACAGAACAAGAAUAAGGUAGCGCACCGGGCCCCUCCCAGCCCGUGGACGCUCACUUUGCUCAGGUCUGCUGCGAUGGCUGCCAAGAUGUCCUUCUCUCGCUCUUGCACCAUCCUCCGGAGGGCCUCGAGCUGCUGCAGUCGGAAACGCAGCGGCCGCGAUCGGCCGGACCGGAACGUCUGGCGAAGUCGUUGGACCUGUCGCUCCAUGGCGGGGCCUGAGGAGAACGCCGAGCGAGGCAGGUGAAGCAGCACAAUACCGGUAAGGCACUGCUCGGGAUGACGCCACAGUUCACUGCUUCUCGGGACAGCUGGCUUCCAUCCGCCUACUGGCCCAGACCAAACCCUUGUGUGGACCAAACCCCAGCGCUCCGCCGCUAACGACAAAGUGCGUACCCAUUGGCUGGGCCGCUGCACAAGACCACGAGGCCACGCCCCCAUACCACUAACCGAGCCUUCCGAUUGCUGCUCCGGGGCGGGGGUGUGUAGGUGCAGUUUUUGGCACGCAAAGACGCGGAAGAAUUGUUCUGGCUUCAGAAAAGAGCCCAGCGUCCUCUAGGAAGAGGAACUGAGGCCCCGAGGUGCUCACCAGGCCGGAAGCAACCUCCCUUCGCCUAGGGCGCCUCAGAUUCAGAGGCAAAGUCGCUGGCUGUGACUGGGGUGGGCUGGAUGACGCGCACGAAGAAGGAAUUUCUUGGACAAGGUGGCUCCUAGGGUAGACUGAGGAUGACAGCCAUGGUGUCUCCAAAUGGCACAGAAGUGGGCAGUCCUGCCAAGAGAUCCAGCUGAGAAUCACCUGAGCAGCUUCUAAUCUUUGAGACCGACCACCCCAUGCUUCCUUCUGAUGAAAUCCCUGAAAUCCCUCCUGCAUGAACUUUCACAAAAGCCUGUGAGUUGAGGCUUAUCUGAGGUGAUUCUUGGUGAAGCAAGACAAUUGGCAAGGCUGCCUCACUCCACCUCAGCUUCGCUCUUGCUAAAGCAAGUCAGAACAAACAGCACAGCAUUCUGUUUGAAGGUUUCAUGGUUGAAGCUGGUGGACUGCAGCUGAGAAAGUGUGAGAGGAGCAGGCUUUGAAUGUUACAAAACAAAUCAGGACCCUGCACCCUCAAACUCAGAAUCACCUGUGCAGAGCAAGCCAUGUGCAGAGCAAGCCAGCGGCCGAAGUCUCCCGUCCUUCCUCCUGCCCUGAAGCCCUGGGCUCGAGCGGUCCUCCAGAGGCUGAGGACAGCGCAUACAUGACAGGCUUCCUCACUCCUUAGUGAUGGGCACAGGACGGACCCCAUGAUGUUUUAUUAAUCUCAGGCUGGAAUUUCAGCAUUCUCUAAUUUGGAAAUGAAGCUGCCAACUAUUAACUAUUCAUUUUGGCUCUUCUCCAGCAAACAUCAUGCCAGGGGAACGUAUAUUAAACCAAGGCAGGGCUGGAGAGAUGGCUCAGUGGUUAAGAGCACUGACUGCUCUUCCAGAGAUCCUGAAUUCAAAUCCCAGCAACCACGUGGCGGCUCAAAACCAUCUGUAAUGGAAUCCUUUCCUUGUGUGUUGAAGACAGUGACAGUGUACUCAUAAAAUAAAUAAACAAUAAAAAAAUGUUUAAACCAA